Molecule: ribosomal RNA, 1902 nt
Filed under: Triticum aestivum (bread wheat)
Lineage: Eukaryota; Viridiplantae; Streptophyta; Magnoliopsida; Poales; Poaceae
Description: partial small subunit ribosomal RNA
Source: RNAcentral
AUGGAGGGCUGUGACUGCAUCGAGCCGUUCUGGCCGACCGACGAGCUCCUCAUCAAGUACCAGUACAUCUCAGACUUCUUCAUAGCCCUCGCCUACUUCUCCAUCCCACUCGAGCUCAUCUACUUCGUCAAGAAGUCGUCAUUCUUCCCCUACCGAUGGGUGCUCAUCCAGUUCGGCGCCUUCAUCGUCCUCUGUGGGGCCACCCACCUCAUAAACCUCUGGACCUUCACCAUGCACACCAAGACCGUCGCCAUCGUCAUGACCGUCGCCAAGGUCUCCACGGCCGUCGUGUCCUGUGCGACCGCCCUCAUGCUAGUUCAUAUCAUACCCGACCUGCUCAGCGUCAAGACGAGGGAGCUGUUUCUCAAGAAGAAGGCCGACGAGCUUGACAGGGAAAUGGGACUGAUACGCACGCAGGAGGAGACGGGGAGGCAUGUCAGAAUGCUCACCCAUGAGAUCAGGAGCACGCUUGACAGGCACACCAUCUUGAAGACUACUCUGGUUGAGCUCGGGAGGACGCUGGGUCUGGAGGAAUGUGCCUUGUGGAUGCCAUCACGGAGCGGUUCUAGCCUUCAGCUAACUCAUACUCUGCGCCACCCGAUCCCGGGUGGCUCGUCUGUGCAGAUCAAUCUUCCUGUUGUCAAUCAAGUCUUCAGUAGCAACCGGGCGAUCAUUGUGCCGCAUACGUCUCCGUUGGCAAGGAUCCGCCCUGUUCAAGGCCGGUAUGUCCCACCGGAGGUGGCUGCUGUGAGAGUCCCCCUGCUGCACCUUUCAAACUUCCAGAUAAAUGACUGGCCCGAGCUUUCGGCGAAAAGCUACGCGAUUAUGGUUUUGAUGCUCCCGUCUGAUAGCGCGAGGAAAUGGCAUGUCCAUGAACUGGAGCUCGUCGAGGUCGUCGCCGAUCAGGUAGCUGUUGCCCUCUCUCAUGCUGCUAUUCUUGAAGAAUCCAUGCGAGCACGUGAUCUACUGAUGGAUCAAAAUGUGGCCCUAGAUUUAGCUCGGCGAGAGGCUGAAAUGGCAAUACGUGCUCGCAAUGACUUCCUAGCUGUGAUGAAUCAUGAAAUGCGAACCCCGAUGAACGCGAUAAUAGCCCUCUCCUCCUUGCUACUAGAAACUGAACUUACCCCUGAGCAGCGCCUAAUGGUGGAAACGGUGCUGAAGAGCAGCAACCUUUUAGCGACGCUCAUCAAUGACGUCUUGGAUCUUUCGAAACUCGAGGAUGGUAGUUUCGAACUGGAUAUAAGCGCAUUCAAUCUUCAUGCUGUUUUCAAAGAGGUGAUGAGUUUCGUCAAGCCGAUUGCAGCCAUAAAAAAACUCUCUGUGUCGGUUAUGUUAUCCCCUGACUUGCCUCUAUCUGCCAUCGGUGAUGAGAAGCGACUCAUGCAAACUAUUCUGAACGUCUGCGGCAAUGCCGUUAAGUUUACCAAGGAGGGCCACAUCUCGCUCUUAGCGUCGGUUGUGAAGCCUGACGCUCUAAGAGAGUUCAGAAGCACCGAUUUCCAUCCGGUCGCGACCGAUGGACAUUUCUAUGUAAAAGUUCAGGUUAAAGAUACAGGGUGCGGCAUCAGCCCUCAGGACCUAUCCCAUGUGUUCACAAAGUUUGCUCACACGCAGAGCGGCGGGAACCAGGGGUACAACGGCAGCGGCCUCGGGCUCGCCAUUUGCAAGAGGUUUGUGAGCCUGAUGGGCGGGCACAUAUGGCUGGAGAGCGAUGGGGCCGGAAAGGGCUGCACGGCGACGUUCGUAGUGAAGCUGGGGGCCUGUGACGCGUACCAGCAGCCGGCGGUCCCUCUGGUGUGGCCGAGCCACGCCGGCUCCGACCCGUCUGGCCCGUCGGCGGCGGCUCGCUGGGAAGAGAGAGGGCUGUCUAACCUGAAACCUAGGUACCAGAGGAGUAUAUGA